AUUUUAGUAGCUUAUAUUUAGAGCAUUAUAUUGAAGAUAUAAUUGAGGAACUUUCCCUAAAAUA
This 64-nucleotide transfer RNA is filed under the name Arboridia sp. 1 NZ-2023a. Its description in RNAcentral is "tRNA-Phe". Lineage: Eukaryota; Metazoa; Arthropoda; Insecta; Hemiptera; Cicadellidae. The record is from RNAcentral.